RNAcentral lists this ribosomal RNA (427 nucleotides) under Zamia spartea. RNAcentral describes it as "eukaryotic LSU rRNA". The stretch from base 4 to 157 matches the Rfam family "5.8S ribosomal RNA". Lineage: Eukaryota; Viridiplantae; Streptophyta; Cycadopsida; Cycadales; Zamiaceae. The record is from RNAcentral.
UACGACUCUCGGCAACGGAUAUCUCGGCCCCGGCAACGAUGAAGAACGUAGCGAAGUGCGAUACUUGGUGUGAAUUGCAGAAUCCCGUGAAUCAUUAAAUCUUUGAACGCAAGUUGCGCCCGAGGCCUCGGCCCAGGGCACGGCUGCCUGGGCGUCGCAUUUGAUAGGAACGCCCUCGCCCCUCUGUCGGGCGAUGGAGCGGAGUUGGCCAUCCGCGCCUUCAGUGUUCCGGUUGGCCGAAAUUGGUGCGGCAUACCCGUGGGUCUUGCAUCGGUGAGCGGUGGUUCUUCCCUCCGGUGGCCUGCCGAUCUUUCGAUCGCGCCGGUGUGAGAAAUGGGCGCGGUGCCCUCCUCCUCGCGACCACUCUGCCCGUCAACGCCCGGCGGUUCUUUGGCGAAUGUGCCGUCGGGCCGUGCUUUGCGACCCC